UACGUAGGGGGCAAGCGUUGUCCGGAUUUAUUGGGCGUAAAGCGCACGCAGGCGGUCUUUUAAGUUUCGAGUGACAGGUGGGGGCUUAACUCCCACAGGCCUUGGAAAACUGGAAGACUUGAGGACGAGAGAGGGACGCGGAAUUCCAGGUGGAGCGGUGAAAUGCGUAGAGAUCUGGAAGAACACCAAAGGCGAAGGCAGCGUUCUGGCUCGUAACUGACGCUCAUGUGCGAAAGCCAGGGGAGCGAACGGG
Molecule: ribosomal RNA, 253 nt
Filed under: uncultured prokaryote
Description: partial 16S ribosomal RNA
Rfam family: Bacterial small subunit ribosomal RNA
Source: RNAcentral